GAUGAACGCUAGCGACAGGCUUAACACAUGCAAGUCGAGGGGCAGCGACAUCGAAAGCUUGCUUUUGAUGGGCGUCGACCGGCGCACGGGUGAGUAACGCGUAUCCAACCUGCCCGUCACUUGGGGAUAACCUUGCGAAAGUAAGACUAAUACCCGAUGAUAUCCCUAGAAGACAUCUGAAAGGGAUUAAAGAUUUAUCGGUGAUGGAUGGGGAUGCGUCUGAUUAGCUUGUUGGCGGGGUAACGGCCCACCAAGGCAACGAUCAGUAGGGGUUCUGAGAGGAAGGUCCCCCACAUUGGAACUGAGACACGGUCCAAACUCCUACGGGAGGCAGCAGUGAGGAAUAUUGGUCAAUGGGCGAGAGCCUGAACCAGCCAAGUAGCGUGCAGGACGACGGCCCUAUGGGUUGUAAACUGCUUUUAUAAGGGAAUAAAGUGAGUCUCGUGAGACUUUUUGCAUGUACCUUAUGAAUAAGGACCGGCUAAUUCCGUGCCAGCAGCCG
RNAcentral lists this ribosomal RNA (502 nucleotides) under uncultured bacterium. RNAcentral describes it as "bacterial SSU rRNA". It matches the Rfam family "Bacterial small subunit ribosomal RNA", at positions 28 to 517 of the family's 1533-position model. The record is from RNAcentral.